This 941-nucleotide unclassified non-coding RNA is filed under the name uncultured cyanobacterium. RNAcentral's name for it is "partial contains 16S ribosomal RNA, 16S-23S ribosomal RNA intergenic spacer, and 23S ribosomal RNA". The stretch from base 1 to 112 matches the Rfam family "Bacterial small subunit ribosomal RNA", at positions 1423 to 1533 of the family's 1533-position model. Lineage: Bacteria; Bacillati; Cyanobacteriota. The record is from RNAcentral.
GAAGUCGUUACUCCAACCCUUGUGGAGGAGGACGUCGAAGGUGGGGCUGAUGACUGGGGUGAAGUCGUAACAAGGUAUCCGUACCGGAAGGUGCGGAUGGAUCACCUCCUAACAGGGAGACAAAACAAUGAUUUUGAUGUCUGAGUAUUUUAUACUUAGGCCGAAAUCCUGUCACCUUAGGUCGAUCGGUACCUCAACAUUUCUUCAAAGAUUGAUGAGCAAUCAUCGAGAGAUUGAAAGAGAUGUUCAGUUCCUAAACUUUGUCUAGGUCACACCCCGCAAGGGAAGAGUCCCCUGGGCCAUUAGCUCAGGUGGUUAGAGCGCACCCCUGAUAAGGGUGAGGUCCCUGGUUCAAGUCCAGGACGGCCCAUUCGGUGUUGGGGGUUUAGCUCAGUUGGUAGAGCGCCUGCUUUGCAAGCAGGAUGUCAGGAGUUCGAGUCUCCUAACCUCCACUGACCGAACUCAAUCUCCAUUGUCCGGUAACUCGGAGGAUGAACUCGAGUGAGUGUGAUUUAGAUGUGUCCACUAGAUUGGACCCCAGCUUCCUGUCAUUCCAAACAAGUUAGUAUUACUUGAAUGGCUGAUAAGAUGCUGGGCUCAGAUUAAUCGAAAGAUUAAUUUGAUGUCUAGUAGAACCUUGACAACUGCAUAGGUAAGUCUGGAAAAACAAAGCAUCUUACAGAUGCAUUGUUUUAAGUCUGAAUUCUCGAAAGGGAAUUUAGAACUAGAACAAUGAAAAUUCUUUUGAGCAAGAGCCGAGACUCUUAGAUGUUCUUUGAUUCGUGUCGAGCGAAUCAGAGUUUGAUUUUGUUUUUAUGAACAACGAAAGUUGUUGAUGAAACCAGAAGAAUCUGCUUUCAACCGCAGUAAGCGUUUAAGAGGUUAAUUGGUCAAGCUACAAAGGGCUCACGGCGGAUACCUUGGCACACAGAGGCGAUGAA